Molecule: long non-coding RNA, 856 nt
Organism: Oreochromis aureus
Lineage: Eukaryota; Metazoa; Chordata; Actinopteri; Cichliformes; Cichlidae
Exons: 4
Source: RefSeq, a predicted model, not a curated record
UAAUAAACAGAGCCAGUGUGACUAAGUGGAGCUUGUGAGAGUGAGUGGAUUGAAGAAAGUGAGGGACUCAGAUGUGUCAGUUGGUUUGUCUUUGUUUUUGAGUGUGGAGGAGAGUUAGAUUGGGUUGGUUUUAAAGCUAAGUUAAGAAUAUUCUGAAUUUCAAUUCAAUUUUAUUUAUAUAGCACCAAAUUACAACAACAGUCGCCUCAAGGCGCUUUAUAUUGUACAGUUUAAUUUCCAAAACUUGCAUAUGAUCUUCAGUUUGCAGCUGGACUAUCACAUAGCAGCUGGAGCAGUCUCAAAUGGAGGUCAGUCCACUGCUGCCACCUGUGGCCAAGUGCCAUAGCCUACUACUAGAUGAACUUGUGACACACAUCUGCAGUAGAGGCUGAGUGGCUGCUCUCACACCUGGAGCAUCCAAAUCGACCCACAAACACGUUGAAAGAUGCAACGCCAUCAAUGUGGAUUGUCCAGACUGAGAGACCUCUUCCCUCUGACCCCUCCCCAAACCCUCAAACCCUCCUACCCACCUCGACAUACAAACUCUGUGUGGCUUCACGUGUUCUGUUGAUGUUUAGCCUCGAGGCAGACUAACUCCACCCUGACAUCAAGAAGAUGGAGGAAGAGGAUGGAGCAGGAUCUGCAGCAUCCAGCUGUGUGUCUGUGAGGAGUGACUGGUCCAAAGGAGAACCUCGACAGUUCAGUAAUGAACCUGCAGCAACAAUAGCUUCUGCACAGUGUGGAGAAAGAUCCAGAAGCAGAGCUGGACUGCAGACAGCCAGUCAGAGCAGCUGUGGACAAACAGAUGUUGGUCUGCAGGAGGUUUUAGAUGAACAUAAGAUCAGUCUGAGGAGGA